This is a long non-coding RNA of Anser brachyrhynchus (Pink-footed goose), 2211 nucleotides long. NCBI's taxonomy places the organism in Eukaryota, Metazoa, Chordata, Aves, Anseriformes, Anatidae. The record is from Ensembl.
AUGGCGCGAGGGAAGCCGAGCGUGGCGGUGCCUCCCAAACCGUCCUGCGAGGAGCAGAGCCCCGGGCGCAGCCGGCUCCCCAGCCCCGGGGGCGGGCUGCGUGCUGGAAACCUCCCCGAAGCACAGCCCCUGCGGGAGGCUGGUCUGUGGAGGCGCCCGGCAGCACAUGGAGCAGCAGCAGCAUCUCGACAGGCAGACGGGGAGGAAGAGGCAGCGCUGGGGAGGAGAAGGGCAGGUUUUCGGGAGCCGGGCCUCUCCUCCGCCAGGCAGCUCGCGCUGCUGGGGGAGCGCGGCGCUCCCCGCGCCACGAGGGCUGGCGGCUGGCUCGACGCGAACAAAAGCGGAGCACUCGGUUUAACCGCAGCCACGGGAUGCUGUGGAGGCCAAGAGCACAAGCAGACUAAAAACGCAAGCCAAUUCCUGGCAGGAAGGUCUGUCGGGGCCAUUAACCGUGAUGUAACCCCCUCCGCGAUGAGAGGCCAAGCGCUACCGGCGCGACCUGCCCUCACGCCUCUCCUCGAGCACCCACCCCGGUGUCACACGUGCCUGCAGCGAUGGGGCCAGCCGCGUCUGCUUCGCAGGCAUGGGCACGGGGGGCACGGGGGGCUCCGUCCCGCUCCUCCCAGCCCCCCAAGGACCUGCAGGAGAGGGAGGCGCAGCAGGGACCUGCUGGUGCCGCCCAGCCCAGCCCUGGCCGCGGGGCCAGCUCAGAGAGCGAGCCCGUUGAGCAGAACCGGCCCCCCAGAUCCUCCGGGAACUCCCCGGGCAGCCGGGACCAAGCCCACGGCGCUGCGUUCCCUCCCGGAGGGGCCCCGGGGAAGCUUUCAGAGCCGAGCAGGACGGGCACCGCCGCUGCGCCCACCUCCGCCGGGCGGCCGGGCCCGGGGAUCGGACCCCUCCGCGCCCAACACGGCCGCGCACCCCCGGCCCCGCACCGGCCCCCCCCGGUUUCCCCCCCCCCGGGGCCUCCUCCCGUGCCUCGGGGCCUGCGGCCGGGGCCCUCCCCCGGCGGGGCCUGCACCUCCCGGGGCUGGGCGCCGCGGGGAACGGCUCCGGCUCCACCGCCGCCGCCGCCGCCACCCACCCGGCCAGGCCGCGCCGCCCCGCUCGCUCACCCACGGCGGCCGGGGCCUCGCUUCAGCCCCGCCGGCCCGGCGCGGUCAGCGGCCCCCGCCGCCGCCUCCGCCUCCCCCGGCCGCCGGCCCGCGGGCGCCCAUGCCGGGGCUGGGGGGGGGGCCCCGCCGGCCGGGCCCCGCCGCUCCGCACCGCCGAGAGCCGCAGGGACACGGGCCGCGCCCGCACGCCGGCUCCGCCCGCCGCCGCCGCACCGGGAGGGGCCGCCCCGCUCCGCCCCGACGGGGCCGGGCCUGGGCCGCCGCCGGGCCGGGAGCCCCGUGGUUUGGGUCCCCCCCACCCUGCUGCCGCGGCCCACCCGCUGCCUUCCCCUUCGUGCCAGCCCCUCCGGGCCGCUCUGCCCGGCUGCCCACCCGCCCCCGGGGCUUCCCCUCCUCUCCGCCCCCUAAGGGACCCUUCUGGCCCCGUGGCACCCACCCCACGAGCCCUGGGCGCAGCCGUCCCGCUCCCUCCUCCGGCUCUCGGCGCGGUUCCGGGGCAGGGGGGCAUUUUCCCCUUAAAAAAGCGCAUCCCGGCUCCGGCUGCUGCUCCAGCCCUGGAGGGCCUCGUAAUAAAUACCUGGGGGAGCCUGCAGCACGGCCCCGGUCACAGCUGCGGUGCACAGAAAGCAUCUUGCAGCGGGAGGCUUCCAACAGCAGGCAGAUGCCCGGCAAGCCAAACCGAGGCAGGGCAGUGCCCAUGGCUAGACGACCAAGCGGACGGGCCUUUCACCAAGGAAGGCGAUUAACUCGCAGAACAGCUCCUCUGCCGCCAGCACAGGCUGCUUCCCCCAGCGCCUCCUUGCUGGAGGCAGCUCUGCCAGGGCCCAGGAGCUUGGUGCGCAGCCCCCAGCCCCACCACCACAGCCGCUGGGAGCAGGCCGAGCAUGCAGUACGAGCCUCUCGCUUCGCACCUCCUGCUGGCUCCCUCAGGCCGCAUCCUGCCCCACACGAGCACAGGGCAGCCCCACAGCACAACCACCCCUGCGGUGAGCUGCUGCGGUGUUUGCAGAGGGGCACAGGGGGCUGCAGGGCUCAGCUAGGUUUGCCCCAACAGUCUUCCUACCCCCGGGGGGUGGCAUUGCUGUCCAGGGGGUAG